Alnus glutinosa is the source of this 393-nucleotide long non-coding RNA. RefSeq lists it as uncharacterized. Lineage: Eukaryota; Viridiplantae; Streptophyta; Magnoliopsida; Fagales; Betulaceae. The record is from RefSeq and is a predicted model, not a curated record. The transcript is spliced from 2 exons.
GUGAGAUGAGAGAAGAGAGAAAUAGUGACGAGAAAGAACCCGAGAGAGAUGAGAUGUUUAUUCGGUUAGUGGAGAGAAUGGAGAGAAUGAGUGAUUGGUAAUGUGUUGGCCGAAUGGUUUUUGGAAGGAGAGAUAAGUUGCUGCAGGUCUCCUAUGGAAAGAUUAGUUUAUGCUAAGUGGAAGAUUAGUUUAUGUUAAGUGGAAGAUUAGUUUAUACUAAGUGGAAGAUUAGUUUAUGGGAUUAAGUGGAAGAGUGGGCUGCUGCUGGUCGAGAAUGGAGAUGAAGGUGUGAGUGUAUUUUAUGAUGGAAAUGGUGAGUGGAAGGUGCUGGCCGAGAAUGUAGAUACGAGUGGAGUGCGUUGCUUUUAUUUAUUUUAUUAUAUCCUUCUUUUU